CAGUCGCCGCGGGAAUACGAAGGGGGCUAGCGUUGCUCGGAAUGACUGGGCGUAAAGGGCGCGUAGGCGGAUCACGCAGUCAGAUGUGAAAUUCCUGGGCUUAACCUGGGGGCUGCAUUUGAGACGCGUGGUCUAGAGUGUGAAAGAGGGUCGUGGAAUUCCCAGUGUAGAGGUGAAAUUCGUAGACAUUGGGAAGAACACCGGUGGCGAAGGCGGCGACCUGGUUCAUGACUGACGCUGAGGCGCGAAAGCGUGGGGAGCAAACAGGAUUAGAGACCCCCGUAGUCCCUGUCUCUUAUAC
RNAcentral lists this ribosomal RNA (301 nucleotides) under uncultured bacterium. RNAcentral's name for it is "partial 16S ribosomal RNA". It matches the Rfam family "Bacterial small subunit ribosomal RNA", at positions 509 to 807 of the family's 1533-position model. The record is from RNAcentral.